Molecule: ribosomal RNA, 254 nt
Filed under: uncultured bacterium
Lineage: Bacteria
Description: partial 16S ribosomal RNA
Rfam family: Bacterial small subunit ribosomal RNA
Source: RNAcentral
UACGUAGGGUGCGAGCGUUGUCCGGAAUUAUUGGGCGUAAAGAGCUCGUAGGCGGUGUGUCGCGUCGGCCGUGAAAACCUGGGGCUCAACUCUGGGCGUGCGGUCGAUACGGGCAUCACUGGAGUUCGGCAGGGGAGACUGGAAUUCCUGGUGUAGCGGUGAAAUGCGCAGAUAUCAGGAGGAACACCGGUGGCGAAGGCGCCGCUCUGGGCCGAAACUGACGCUGAGGAGCGAAAGCGUGGGGAGCGAACAGG